CUUGCGUUCAGUGGCCGCUGGUGCAGCAGGUUCGGUUGAGCGCCUAGCUUUAUAGUCAGUGUAGGGUUCACCAUCACACUCAGUCGCUGCAGCCAGGCAGCCAGGCGGAGAGGGAGCUCCGCUCUCUGCAAACUACACACAGAAACCUGGGGAUGCAGCUCCAUCCAAGAGGACACUACUCACUGGAGCUGGAAGGAAGACAGCCAGGGACAAUAGCAACAGCUGCCGACUGCUCCUGACUGAACAUCUAGAACGAUUUUUACCCAGAAUCUUUGGACCUUUGUGUAUGCAUUUACCACCAUCCCAGAUGUGACAACACUCGUAGGAUUAUUGGAAUCCACCAGAUGGCUGGAUAUGUGGAUUUCUUUUCAAGAUGAUGGAUUAUUUUGACCUCUUUCUUUUCUUUCCUCGCUGCCCCACACACACACACACACACACACACACUUGGAUGCUCCCUUGCACGUUUGGGAACACUGAUGCGAUAUUGAGUUAAGAUGAUGGGAAUCACUGAUUCAAAGCACUUGCAUCUCACAAGGGACUAUUGGCUCUGCUGAUGGAAAAUUAUUGCGGGACUUUGCUCGGAUUGUUGGGAGUUGGACCGUUUUCAUUUGGAGGUGUUUUGGGGUGUAUUCUUGUAUCAGAAACAUGGAAAUAUCAUGGUCAGGAUCAUCAAGCGUGGAGAUGUGCAUUGUGGUUUCUAUCUGGAAUUAUGCGGAUGGCUGUUAGGAAAUUAUUCCCCUCUUUUUUUUUCCCCCCCCCAAAAAAAAACCUGGAAUAUGUUGCACGCUUUUGGAAUGCCCUUGCCAUAUGGAUUAACUUCGCCAUUGAGUGGGAUAGAUGGAACUCCGAGGAUAUUAUAUCCAGAUGAUGUAUUGAAGACCCUGGGAUGUAUUAGAGGAGGCGAUGUGGAUUUAAUUCUCAGUAGAAUAAUGUGGAUUGUUACUACGUUUUGCUUUGGCGUUGUUUAAAAGGUAUAUUUCUGCAUGACCUCAAAUAAAGUGACCGAACACACCAGAUGAUAUGGGUCCUUCCCAAUCUUUGCUAUGCUUUUUCCUCACCUCAGCCCUACUGUAUUGGCUACGCGAAGCUGAUAGGAGACCACAAAGGUAUUGCCCUGUGAGACAGAUGGUACUAAACUCAUGUAAUAAUAAUCAUAAACCGUGAGAAGGUUAGUAACAGGUUUUAAAAUGUCAUAGACAGACUUAUGAGAUGGGAAGACACAUGUUAGAUGACGUUUCACACAGCUAAGUGUGAAGUGAUUCAUUUCAGAAGGAGGAAUGAGAAGAGGAAAUCAAAUCUAAAUGGCAUAAUUUAAAAAUGGGUGUGGAAAGAGAGAGAACAUGCAAAAGCCAGGACAAACUAAGGAACUUUUCAAAAAAAAAAUCAGGAAGACAGAAAGUGCAAAUGGAAGUUAUGCCAAACCUUUAUAAAUCAUGGCAUAGUUUCCAACUGAAAUGUUGUGCUAAAUUCUGAAUAUCACAGUUUUGGACAGACGUCAAGGCCUUGGAAAGGAAACAAAAGGAGAGCCAGGACAAUGGUACCACAGGUGUGCGACUUCAGUUGUGUGGAGAGAAAUGAGAGGCUUGGAUUGUUCUUGGAACAGAGAAAGUGAAGGAGUUAUUCAAAGUAUUCAAAGUCAAAAAAGGGGUUUGGAAGUGCAAGCUGGU
Chiloscyllium plagiosum (whitespotted bambooshark) is the source of this 1667-nucleotide non-coding RNA. The record is from RefSeq and is a predicted model, not a curated record. NCBI's taxonomy places the organism in Eukaryota, Metazoa, Chordata, Chondrichthyes, Orectolobiformes, Hemiscylliidae.